UAUACCGUGAAACUGCGAAUGGCUCAUUAAAUCAGUUAUCGUUUAUUUGAUAGUACCUUACUACUUGGAUAACCGUGGUAAUUCUAGAGCUAAUACAUGCUGAAAACCCCGACUUACGAAGGGGUGUAUUUAUUAGAUAAAAAACCAACGCCCUUCGGGGCUUCUUGGUGAUUCAUGAUAACUUUACGGAUCGCAUGGCCUUGCGCCGGCGACGGUUCAUUCAAAUUUCUGCCCUAUCAACUUUCGAUGGUAAGGUAUUGGCUUACCAUGGUUUCAACGGGUAACGGGGAAUUAGGGUUCGAUUCCGGAGAGGGAGCCUGAGAAACGGCUACCACAUCCAAGGAAGGCAGCAGGCGCGCAAAUUACCCAAUCCCGACACGGGGAGGUAGUGACAAUAAAUACUGAUACAGGGCUCUUUUGGGUCUUGUAAUUGGAAUGAGUACAAUUUAAACCUCUUAACGAGGAACAAUUGGAGGGCAAGUCUGGUGCCAGCAGCCGCGGUAAUUCCAGCUCCAAUAGCGUAUAUUAAAGUUGUUGCAGUUAAAAAGCUCGUAGUUGAAACUUGGGCCUGGCUGGCAGGUCCGCCUCACCGCGUGUACUUGUCCGGCCGGGUCUUCCUUCUGGAGAACCUCAUGCCCUUCACUGGGCGUGUUGGGGACCAGGACUUUUACUUUGAAAAAAUUAGAGUGUUCAAAGCAGGCCUUUGCUCGAAUACGUUAGCAUGGAAUAAUAGAAUAGGACGUGCGGUCCUAUUUUGUUGGUUUCUAGGACCGCCGUAAUGAUUAAUAGGGACAGUCGGGGGCAUCAGUAUUCAAUUGUCAGAGGUGAAAUUCUUGGAUUUAUUGAAGACUAACUACUGCGAAAGCAUUUGCCAAGGAUGUUUUCAUUAAUCAGUGAACGAAAGUUAGGGGAUCGAAGACGAUCAGAUACCGUCGUAGUCUUAACCGUAAACUAUGCCGACUAGGGAUCGGGCGAUGUUCUUUUUCUGACUCGCUCGGCACCUUACGAGAAAUCAAAGUU
RNAcentral lists this ribosomal RNA (1020 nucleotides) under Setophoma terrestris. Its description in RNAcentral is "SSU rRNA". It matches the Rfam family "Eukaryotic small subunit ribosomal RNA", at positions 75 to 1105 of the family's 1831-position model. The record is from RNAcentral. Lineage: Eukaryota; Fungi; Ascomycota; Dothideomycetes; Pleosporales; Phaeosphaeriaceae.